AUUGAACGCUGGCGGCAGGCCUAACACAUGCAAGUCGAACGGUAACAGGAAGAAGCUUGCUUCUUUGCUGACGAGUGGCGGACGGGUGAGUAAUGUCUGGGAAACUGCCUGAUGGAGGGGGAUAACUACUGGAAACGGUAGCUAAUACCGCAUAACGUCUCAAGACCAAAGAGGGGGACCUUCGGGCCUCUUGCCAUCGGAUGUGCCCAGAUGGGAUUAGCUAGUAGGUGGGGUAACGGCUCACCUAGGCGACGAUCCCUAGCUGGUCUGAGAGGAUGACCAGCCACACUGGAACUGAGACACGGUCCAGACUCCUACGGGAGGCAGCAGUGGGGAAUAUUGCACAAUGGGCGCAAGCCUGAUGCAGCCAUGCCGCGUGUAUGAAGAAGGCCUUCGGGUUGUAAAGUACUGUCAGCGGGGAGGAAGGGAGUAAAGUUAAUACCUUUGCUCAUUGACGUUACCCGCAGAAGAAGCACCGGCUAACUCCGUG
This 490-nucleotide ribosomal RNA is filed under the name uncultured bacterium. RNAcentral's name for it is "partial 16S ribosomal RNA". It matches the Rfam family "Bacterial small subunit ribosomal RNA", at positions 30 to 507 of the family's 1533-position model. The record is from RNAcentral.